UUCCGGUUGAUCCUGCCGGAGGUUACUGCUAUCGAGGUUCGACUAAGCCAUGCGAGUCGAAUGUAGCAAUACAUGGCGAACUGCUCAGUAACACGUGGACAACCUGCCCUUAGGUUGGGUAUAAACCCGGGAAACUGGGUAUAAUACCCGAUAGGUCUCGAUUGCUGGAAUGCAUCGAGAUUUAAAGCUCCGGCGCCUAAGGAUGGGUCUGCGGCCUAUCAGGUAGUAGUGGGUGUAGCGUACCUACUAGCCUACGACGGGUACGGGUUGUGAGAGCAAGAGCCCGGAGAUGGAUUCUGAGACACGAAUCCAGGCCCUACGGGGUGCAGCAGGCGCGAAAACUUUACAAUGCUGGCAACAGCGAUAAGGGAACCUCGAGUGCCAGGUUACAAAUCUGGCUGUCGAGAUGCCUAAAAAGCAUUUCAUAGCAAGGGCCGGGCAAGACCGGUGCCAGCCGCCGCGGUAACACCGGCGGCUCGAGUGGUAACCGUUAUUAUUGGGUCUAAAGGGUCUGUAGCCGGCCGGAUAAGUCUCUUGAGAAAUCUGGCAGCUUAACUGUCAGGCUUUCAGGAGAUACUGUCUGGCUCGAGGCCGGGAGAGGUGAGAGGUACUUCAGGGGUAGGGGUGAAAUCUUGUAAUCCUUGAAGGACCACCAGUGGCGAAGGCGUCUCACCAGAACGGACCUGACGGCAAGGGACGAAAGCUAGGGGCACGAACCGGAUUAGAUACCCGGGUAGUCCUAGCCGUAAACGAUACUCGCUAGGUGUCGGCCACGGUGCGACCGUUGUCGGUGCCGUAGGGAAGCCGUGAAGCGAGCCACCUGGGAGUACGGCCGCAAGGCUGAAACUUAAAGGA
Molecule: ribosomal RNA, 855 nt
Filed under: bacterium enrichment culture clone F8 1.705-A24
Lineage: Bacteria
Description: bacterial SSU rRNA
Rfam family: Archaeal small subunit ribosomal RNA
Source: RNAcentral